Molecule: long non-coding RNA, 737 nt
Filed under: Phoenix dactylifera (date palm)
Lineage: Eukaryota; Viridiplantae; Streptophyta; Magnoliopsida; Arecales; Arecaceae
Description: long non-coding RNA (PDAC_LNC007233)
Source: RNAcentral
AUCCAGAUGGCUUAGGGCACUAGGUGUAGAGACACCCUAACAAGCUUAAUAACUCAAGUUAACUAAGCUUCAAGGCCAAAUUAGUCACUCAGAGUUUAAUCUCAAUCAUCCUCACCUUUUUACGCGAACACUCGCUGCUUGUCAAGCAAGAGGCCCGGUUACUCAGUGAGAAGACUUAAAAUAAACUCAUUAUUUUAUUUUAUUUUAUCUUUUUUUUUCUUUUUUCUUUUUUUUUGAUUAGGGUGUUCAUCACACAUAUAACUUUAAAUUAUUCCGAAGAUUAAAAGUAUUCAUAUUAGUUGCAAGUAUACAUACCCCACUAUUCAUAUGCUUACGUGUAGGUGCUAAAUCAUCUUGUAUCAUGUUAGCAGAAGAUAGGUGGGACGAAAACUCAAGCUAGAACUGCUAUCAUAUUUCUUAACUCAAAGCUAUUGUCAAAGCAAUUUCUAGUUUGUACAGCCAAAAAGAUUAGAGUUUGAGUUAAAAAUUUGAAAUUCUUUUUUUUAAUUUUAAAUUUAUUUUUUUUAAUUGCAUAAAAAAUCAAAAAUAUUCUCAUCACCCCCAUACCUAAAUCUAACAUUGUCCUCAAUGUUGAAGAAAAUUUAAAGCAGUAAUAGGAUAGAGGAGAAAUUACCUGAUAUGGGUGGGUAAAGUGACAAUUUGGGGCCAAAAACCUCCAAACCUGAAUGUUAGUAAUUUAUUGAAACUAUUAUUAUUAUUAUAUUAUAUAUAUAUAU